AGCAGAGAUGCUUUGGUGCCUUCGGGAACUCUGAGACAGGUGCUGCAUGGCUGUCGUCAGCUCGUGUUGUGAAAUGUUGGGUUAAGUCCCGCAACGAGCGCAACCCUUAUCCUUUGUUGCCAGCGGUCCGGCCGGGAACUCAAAGGAGACUGCCAGUGAUAAACUGGAGGAAGGUGGGGAUGACGUCAAGUCAUCAUGGCCCUUACGAGUAGGGCUACACACGUGCUACAAUGGCAUAUACAAAGAGAAGCGACCU
This 256-nucleotide ribosomal RNA is filed under the name Citrobacter freundii. RNAcentral describes it as "partial 16S ribosomal RNA". It matches the Rfam family "Bacterial small subunit ribosomal RNA", at positions 999 to 1255 of the family's 1533-position model. RNAcentral also lists the same sequence under 1 other name. The record is from RNAcentral. Lineage: Bacteria; Pseudomonadati; Pseudomonadota; Gammaproteobacteria; Enterobacterales; Enterobacteriaceae.